RNAcentral lists this ribosomal RNA (452 nucleotides) under uncultured bacterium. Its description in RNAcentral is "bacterial SSU rRNA". It matches the Rfam family "Bacterial small subunit ribosomal RNA", at positions 29 to 524 of the family's 1533-position model. The record is from RNAcentral.
AGCGAACGCUGGCGGCAGGCUUAACACAUGCAAGUCGAGCGGGCGUAGCAAUACGUCAGCGGCAGACGGGUGAGUAACGCGUGGGAACGUACCUUUUGGUUCGGAACAACACAGGGAAACUUGUGCUAAUACCGGAUAAGCCCUUACGGGGAAAGAUUUAUCGCCGAAAGAUCGGCCCGCGUCUGAUUAGCUAGUUGGUGAGGUAACGGCUCACCAAGGCGACGAUCAGUAGCUGGUCUGAGAGGAUGAUCAGCCACAUUGGGACUGAGACACGGCCCAAACUCCUACGGGAGGCAGCAGUGGGGAAUAUUGGACAAUGGGCGCAAGCCUGAUCCAGCCAUGCCGCGUGAGUGAUGAAGGCCCUAGGGUUGUAAAGCUCUUUUGUGCGGGAAGAUAAUGACGGUACCGCAAGAAUAAGCCCCGACUAACUUCGUGCCAGCAGCCGCGGUAAU